RNAcentral lists this ribosomal RNA (506 nucleotides) under uncultured bacterium. Its description in RNAcentral is "bacterial SSU rRNA". It matches the Rfam family "Bacterial small subunit ribosomal RNA", at positions 791 to 1301 of the family's 1533-position model. The record is from RNAcentral.
UAGUCCACGCCCUAAACGACGUUCACUCGAUAUUUGCGAUAAACAGUAAGUGUCCAAGCGAAAGCGUUAAGUGAACCACCUGGGGAGUACGAUCGCAAGGUUGAAACUCAAAGGAAUUGACGGGGGUCCGCACAAGCGGUGGAGUAUGUGGUUUAAUUCGAUGAUACGCGAAGAACCUUACCUAGGCUCUAAUUCUAUAUGCCAGGUCCUGAAAGGGAUUUUUUCUUCGGAACAUAUAGGAAGGUGCUGCAUGGUUGUCGUCAGCUCGUGCCGUGAGGUGUUGGGUUAAGUCCCGCAACGAGCGCAACCCCUGUCUUUAGUUGCCAGCGAGUAAUGUCGGGGACUCUAAAGAGACUGCCUGCGCAAGCAGUGAGGAAGGAGGGGACGACGUCAAAUCAUCAUGGCCUUUACGUCCUGGGCUACACACGUGCUACAAUGGUCUGUACAGAGAGUUGCUAACUGGUGACAGUGUGCUAAUCUCUAAAGCAGGCCUCAGUUCGGAUUGG